Molecule: small nuclear RNA, 105 nt
Organism: Otolemur garnettii (small-eared galago)
Lineage: Eukaryota; Metazoa; Chordata; Mammalia; Primates; Galagidae
Source: Ensembl
AGUGAGUACCACCUUACUAAAUACUAAAAUUGUAAUGAUGCAGAAAAGAUUGACAUGGCCCUUCACAAGGAUGACAUGAAAAUUCAUGCAGCAUUCCAUAUGUUU